GAGAGAUGUGGAUAAACCACGGAAGAAACACAUGGUUUGAAUAAAAAGAUCAAUGUACUUAAAAUGAAUCGUAUAAAAAUUGCCUUUUGUUUAUAUUCCAGAUUUUUAACAGAUACACUAUAAACGAGAGAUGAGUGUUGUCAUGAACACAAUGACCAUUCCUUCACUUGUUUUUGUCAUAAUGAUACUAUUCAGUAUUUGAAUACUUCUUAAUACCCAC
This 220-nucleotide long non-coding RNA is filed under the name Mytilus galloprovincialis (Mediterranean mussel). Lineage: Eukaryota; Metazoa; Mollusca; Bivalvia; Mytilida; Mytilidae. The record is from RNAcentral.